This 1632-nucleotide ribosomal RNA is filed under the name Triticum aestivum (bread wheat). Its description in RNAcentral is "partial small subunit ribosomal RNA". Lineage: Eukaryota; Viridiplantae; Streptophyta; Magnoliopsida; Poales; Poaceae. The record is from RNAcentral.
AUGAAAUUCGUGAGUAUAGAGAUGCCCGCAAUAUGGAGAAUUUACUCUUUCGACCUGAGUGAGAUGUCUCCUCCCGUUCUACAGUUACAAGUCCAUUUGCCAAAUAUGCAUUUGGUCCGUUAUAAAGACUGUGACAAUUUGGAAAAUGUGAUUAGUAUAGAAUCAUCUUCCAGGACAAUGCUUACUGAGUAUUUUAGAAUGAACUCUAUCGAUCCUUAUGCUAGAAAUUUCCUAUAUAAGGAAUUCCCUGAAUUUUAUACAUGGCAGAGGAACCACAAGACAUGGAGACAACGUACCAAGAGAAUUCAAAUAGGUCGACUUGUGGCUGCUCACCCUGCAGAAGGUGAACGCUAUUACUUGAGAAUAUUGCUAAACCAUGUGAGGGGGGCUACAUCUUUUGAUGAUUUACGUACUGUUGAUGGUGUUGUUUUCUCCACAUUUAGAGAAGCUGCAGAGAGAAGGGGUCUCAUAGAAGCAGAUGAUAGUAUUUCUGACUGUCUCACCGAAGCUGCCACAUUUCAAAUGCCCUAUGCACUUAGAAGGCUUUUUGCUACAAUUUUGGCAUUAUGCGAAGUUACAAAUGUUCGUGCAUUAUGGAACAAUCACUUUGACGCAAUGUCUGACGAUUUUCGUAGGGAGAACAUAAGUGAUGAAGCAAUCGAGAAACUCGUGCUUGGAGAUAUUCGAUAUUUGUUAUAUUCCAUGGGAAAGGACAUCAAGACCUUUGAUCUUCCAGAUCUAUUGGAUGCUGAUGAUCUGGACAGCUUAGAGGCGAGAGAAUUGAGUGAAGAAAUGUCUAUUGAAGUUGCUAAAGAAGACCUGGAGCUGCAGGCAACUUUAAACAAUGAACAACAGCUUGCUUUUGAUGAAAUAAUGGACCACGUCUUGAACCAGAAGGGUAAGGUCUUCUUCAUUGAUGGUCCAGGAGGUACAGGAAAGACGUACCUUUAUAAAGCUUUAUUGGCAAAAGUAAGAUCAAUGGGUUUGAUAGCCAUUGCAAUAGCAACAUCUGCCAUUGCAGCUUCUAUCAUGCCUGGUGGUCGGACGGCACAUUCCAGAUUUAAAAUACCAAUAAAUGUUCAAGAAGAUACUGUGUGCAACUUCAGUAAGCAGAGUGGGACAGCUGAAUUACUUCGAAGAGCAUCUUUGAUAAUUUGGGAUGAAGUUGCCAUGACAAAACGGCAAGUAGUUGAGGCACUUGAUAGAUCCCUGCAAGAUAUUACUGGUUGUAGAUCACAAUUUGGAGGUAAAGUAAUUGUGUUCGGAGGAGAUUUCCGACAAGUCCUUCCAGUAGUUAGGCGUGGCACUAGAGCCCAAAUUGUUAAUGCCAUUCUCAGAAAAUCUUAUCUAUGGGAGGAUAUAAGACAAAUAAAACUCUGGCGCAAUAUGAGAGCACAAACAGAUCCAUGGUUCUCUGAUUUUCUCUUGAGAGUUGGCAAUGGCGUUAAAGAAUCAAUUGGUGAAGACUAUGUGCAUUUACCUGAAGAGAUGGUUGUAGGUUACACACAUUCAGAGACCUCGGUUAGUAAGUUGCUAAACGAAGUAUUUCCUUCACUUGACAAGAAUGGAAGAUUACCGUCUUAUAUAAGUUCUCGUGCCAUUCUUUCCACCAAGAAUACGUGGAUGAAUUAA